Cyanistes caeruleus (blue tit) is the source of this 1401-nucleotide non-coding RNA. NCBI's taxonomy places the organism in Eukaryota, Metazoa, Chordata, Aves, Passeriformes, Paridae. The record is from RefSeq and is a predicted model, not a curated record.
UGUUGAGAUGGUCUUAUCAAAGCAGAAACAUACUGCUGGUUGACUGAGCACUUUGUGCAAACUGUAGUGAGGGGAGUGUGGUUUUAAGGGCGGGCUUAUUUUCAGUAUUUUCAAAACUAUACAGCUGGGGUAAGCAGUCUAAAGUAAUUUAGGGCUCUUCUAAAGAGAGUUCUGGUUUUCUUUCCAAAGCUAAUCUGCAGGAGAAACUGGUAGAGGAGUUAUCUAAAAAAAUGCUCUAAAACUAGUUCUGUUUUGCCUUUCAAGGUACAAGUGUGUCUGUGACCCAGGCUGGAUAGGAGAUUACUGUUCAACAGAAGGGAAUGAAUGUAAAUCAAACCCAUGCCAGAACGGAGGAACUUGUGAGGAUCUGCUGAAUGGAUACAGAUGUACCUGCAGGAAAGGAUUCAAAGGUGUGAACUGCCAGGUAGUGGUUUCUCCUUGUUCCCCUAAUCCUUGUGAGAACUCGGGAAUCUGCCAAGAAUCUCCUGACUCUGAAGGCUACACCUGCCAGUGUGCCCCUGGCUGGGAAGGGGAAAGAUGCACAGUGGAUAUCGAUGAGUGCCUCUCCAAGCCCUGCAAAAACCACGCUCUGUGCCACAACAUCCAGGGCAGUUACCUGUGCGAGUGCCGGCCUGGCUUCACCGGCGGGGACUGCGACAGCAACAUCGACGACUGCCUGUCCAGUGGGUAUCAGCACAUUGCUUCCCACUUCUCCCUAAAAAUAACUUUGCUGACUGCUGUUUGACAGAUUUUGAGCUCUCUUUUAGAAUCUCUUGCCAAAAGGAGAAAAAAACAUAACAACCCCAAGGUUCAGGGUGGUGUUGUUGAUGACUUUGUGAUGUUUGAGUCAGUCAAAAUCCAGCGUGUUGGGCUGCUAGAAAUGGACCACAGCAUCCUAACUGAUGGCAGCUGUUGUUCCCAGAUCCUUAACUUGAGAAGGUCCUUAGAGUUUACAUACUUGAAUAAGAAGUGCUGUUAAAUGCAAAAUUGUAUUUGCCUGAAAUUUUAAUGCAUCAGGUUAAGGUGCCACUGCAGGGCUUACCUGUAUUUCAACGUUCAGUUUGAUUGAGGUGUGGUGGGAAUCUGGGGUAUAGCAGUCCUUCCUGAAAUGUCUGUCUGACAUUAAUAUUCCUGGAAGAGUGGGUCCUGUUGCAGUUCCAGUUAAUCCAUAUUUGAAAACAAAUGAAGCAGCAGGAAGGCCUCCUCUGUUCUGGAAUAGGUAUCAGUUGCAGGAGGGUAACCCAUACACUGAUGAGUGCUGAAAUGGCUCAAAUUGCAAGAAAACAAGUAUUAAUUUCACAUCCUUGACACUGCUGUUUAUAAAGGAAACCAAAUACAUAGUAGCUUCUUUUUCUUACUGGGCAUAUUCUAUAUCAUCAUCAUCAGAUAAAAUCAGAGUCU